GAUGAACGCUGGCGGCGUGCCUAAUACAUGCAAGUCGAGCGAACAGAUAAGGAGCUUGCUCCUUUGAAGUUAGCGGCGGACGGGUGAGUAACACGUGGGUAACCUACCUAUAAGACUGGGAUAACUUCGGGAAACCGGAGCUAAUACCGGAUAACAUUUAGAACCGCAUGGUUCUAAAGUGAAAGAUGGUUUUGCUAUCACUUAUAGAUGGACCCGCGCCGUAUUAGCUAGUUGGUAAGGUAACGGCUUACCAAGGCGACGAUACGUAGCCGACCUGAGAGGGUGAUCGGCCACACUGGAACUGAGACACGGUCCAGACUCCUACGGGAGGCAGCAGUAGGGAAUCUUCCGCAAUGGGCGAAAGCCUGACGGAGCAACGCCGCGUGAGUGAUGAAGGGUUUCGGCUCGUAAAACUCUGUUAUUAGGGAAGAACAAAUGUGUAAGUAACUGUGCACAUCUUGACGGUACCUAAUCAGAAAGCCACGGCUAACUACGUGCCAGCAGCCGCGGUAAUACGUAGGUGGCAAGCGUUAUCCGGAAUUAUUGGGCGUAAAGCGCGCGUAGGCGGUUUCUUAAGUCUGAUGUGAAAGCCCACGGCUCAACCGUGGAGGGUCAUUGGAAACUGGGAAACUUGAGUGCAGAAGAGGAGAGUGGAAUUCCAUGUGUAGCGGUGGAAUGCGUAGAUAUAUGGAGGAACACCAGUGGCGAAGGCGGCUCUCUGGUCUGUAACUGACGCUGAGGCUCGAAAGCGUGGGGAGCAAACAGGAUUAGAUACCCUGGUAGUCCACGCCGUAAACGAUGAGUGCUAAGUGUUGGAGGGUUUCCGCCCUUCAGUGCUGCAGCAAACGCAUUAAGCACUCCGCCUGGGGAGUACGACCGCAAGGUUGAAACUCAAAGGAAUUGACGGGGGCCCGCACAAGCGGUGGAGCAUGUGGUUUAAUUCGAAGCAACGCGAAGAACCUUACCAGGUCUUGACAUCCUUUGACCACUCUAGAGAUAGAGCUUUCCCUUCGGGGACAAAGUGACAGGUGGUGCAUGGUUGUCGUCAGCUCGUGUCGUGAGAUGUUGGGUUAAGUCCCGCAACGAGCGCAACCCUUAUUGUUAGUUGCCAUCAUUUAGUUGGGCACUCUAGCGAGACUGCCGGUGACAAACCGGAGGAAGGUGGGGAUGACGUCAAAUCAUCAUGCCCCUUAUGACCUGGGCUACACACGUGCUACAAUGGGAAGUACAACGAGUCGCUAGACCGCGAGGUCAUGCAAAUCUCUUAAAGCUUCUCUCAGUUCGGAUUGCAGGCUGCAACUCGCCUGCAUGAAGCCGGAAUCGCUAGUAAUCGCGGAUCAGCACGCCGCGGUGAAUACGUUCCCGGGCCU
This 1370-nucleotide ribosomal RNA is filed under the name uncultured bacterium. RNAcentral describes it as "bacterial SSU rRNA". It matches the Rfam family "Bacterial small subunit ribosomal RNA", at positions 28 to 1381 of the family's 1533-position model. The record is from RNAcentral.